AUUGAACGCUGGCGGCAGGCCUAACACAUGCAAGUCGAACGAGUGGCGGACGGGUGAGUAAUGUCUGGGAAUCUGGCUGAUGGAGGGGGAUAACGACGGGAAACUGUAGCUAAUACCGCAUACCAUAGGAUGUGCCCAAGUGGGAUUAGGUAGUUGGUGGGGUAAUGGCCCACCAAGCUGACGAUCCCUAGCUGGUCUGAGAGGAUGACCAGCCACACUGGGACUGAGACACGGCCCAGACUCCUACGGGAGGCAGCAGUGGGGAAUAUUGCGCAAUGGGCGCAAGCCUGACGCAGCCAUGCCGCGUGAAUGAAGAAGGCCUUCGGGUUGUAAAGUUCUUUCGGCGUAGAGGCGUUAAAUGCAGAAGAAGCACCGGCUAACUCCGUGCCAGCAGCCGCGGUAAUUC
RNAcentral lists this ribosomal RNA (406 nucleotides) under uncultured bacterium. Its description in RNAcentral is "partial 16S ribosomal RNA". It matches the Rfam family "Bacterial small subunit ribosomal RNA", at positions 30 to 526 of the family's 1533-position model. The record is from RNAcentral.